Molecule: non-coding RNA, 896 nt
Filed under: Trichomonas vaginalis G3
Lineage: Eukaryota; Parabasalia; Trichomonadida; Trichomonadidae
Description: Eukaryotic small subunit ribosomal RNA
Rfam family: Eukaryotic small subunit ribosomal RNA
Source: Rfam by way of RNAcentral
UAGAUUAAGCCAUGCAAGUGUUAGUUCAGGUAACGAAACUGCGAAUAGCUCAUUAAUACGCUCAGAAUCUAUUUGGCGGCGACCAACAGGUCUUAAAUGGAUAGCAGCAGCAACUCUGGUGCUAAUACAUGCGAUUGUUUCUCCAGAUGUGAAUUAUGGAGGAAAAGUUGACCUCAUCAGAGGCACGCCAUUCGACUGAGUGACCUAUCAGCUUGUACUUAGGGUCUUUACCUAGGUAGGCUAUCACGGGUAACGGGCGGUUACCGUCGGACUGCCGGAGAAGGCGCCUGAGAGAUAGCGACUAUAUCCACGGGUAGCAGCAGGCGCGAAACUUUCCCACUCGAGACUUUCGGAGGAGGUAAUGACCAGUUCCAUUGGUGCCUUUUGGUACUGUGGAUAGGGGUACGGUUUUCCACCGUACCGAAACCUAGCAGAGGGCCAGUCUGGUGCCAGCAGCUGCGGUAAUUCCAGCUCUGCGAGUUUGCUCCCAUAUUGUUGCAGUUAAAACGCCCGUAGUCUGAAUUGGCCAGCAAUGGUCGUACGUAUUUUUACGUUCACUGUGAACAAAUCAGGACGCUUAGAGUAUGGCCACAUGAAUGACUCAGCGCAGUAUGAAGUCUUUGUUUUCUUCCGAAAACAAGCUCAAUGAGAGCCAUCGGGGGUAGAUCUAUCUCAUGACGAGUGGUGGAAUACUUUGACUCAUGAGAGAGAAGCUGAGGCGAAGGCGUCUACCUAGAGGGUUUCUGUCGAUCAAGGGCGAGAGUAGGAGUAUCCAACAGGAUUAGAGACCCUGGUAGUUCCUACCUUUAAACGAUGCCGACAGGAGUUUGUCAUUUGUUAAUGGCAGAAUCUUUGGAGAAAUCAUAGUUCUUGGGCUCUGGGGGAACUACGACCGC